Molecule: ribosomal RNA, 614 nt
Filed under: Hemimetopius sp. JM361
Lineage: Eukaryota; Metazoa; Arthropoda; Insecta; Hymenoptera; Ichneumonidae
Description: partial 28S ribosomal RNA
Source: RNAcentral
CCUGAGAAACCCAAAAGAUGGAAUGGGGAGAUUCAUCGUCAGCGAGCCCGGCACGUGUGCGGUUCGUGAUGCCGGAGACCACGGUCUCUCGGCACGCGUCCGCAUGGGUUUUAUGCCGGGCUUGUCGGCGUGCACUUCUCCCCUAGUAGGACGUCGCGACCCGUUGGGUGUCGGUCUACGGNCCGGGUGGGCGCCUGUCAUGUGCUCAGCUUCACGGCUCCAUGUGGCAGACCCCCGGUUGUCUGACCAGCUGCCCGGCGGUACUCGCACGGUAUCGAGCCGCAAACUUUUGAACGUGCGUCCGGCCCGCCGCAAGCGAGGCCAGUGUUUCCCGGAUGUACGGACCUAGCGCCGUCACCGGGCCUGGCCGGCUGUUGGCUGGCGGUGUCCUGGGACUGGCUCUUCAUUAUGAUACCGGUCGGCGACGCUACUGCUUUGGGUACUUUCAGGACCCGUCUUGAACACGGACCARGGAGUCUAACAUGUGCGCGAGUCAUUGGGAAUUUUCUAUUAAGCCUAAAGGCUCAAUUAAAGUGAAGGUCGGCCUUGCGCCGACCGAGGGAGGAUGGNNNNNNNNNUACGAUGCGGUCCCGACUNNCCGGGGCGUCUCGUUC